UGCGUAGGCGGAUUAUUAAGUCAGUGGUGAAAGUUUACGGCUCAACCGUAAAAGUGCCAUUGAUACUGGUAGUCUUGAGUACAGUAGAGGUAGGCGGAAUUUAUGGUGUAGCGGUGAAAUGCAUAGAUACCAUAAAGAACACCGAUAGCGAAGGCAGCUUACUAUACUGAGACUGACGCUGAGGCACGAAAGCGUGGGGAGCGAACAGGAUUAGAUACCCUGGUAGUCC
RNAcentral lists this ribosomal RNA (229 nucleotides) under uncultured bacterium. RNAcentral describes it as "partial 16S ribosomal RNA". It matches the Rfam family "Bacterial small subunit ribosomal RNA", at positions 568 to 796 of the family's 1533-position model. The record is from RNAcentral.